GCCCCAGUAGCCCAAUGGCAGAGGCAGUGGACUUAAAAUCCAUUCAGUGUCGGUUCGAGUCCGACCUGGGGUACCA
RNAcentral lists this transfer RNA (76 nucleotides) under Arthrobacter silviterrae. Its description in RNAcentral is "tRNA-Leu". It matches the Rfam family "tRNA". From Rfam's summary of the family: Transfer RNA (tRNA) molecules are approximately 80 nucleotides in length. Their secondary structure includes four short double-helical elements and three loops (D, anti-codon, and T loops). The record is from RNAcentral. Lineage: Bacteria; Bacillati; Actinomycetota; Actinomycetes; Micrococcales; Micrococcaceae. RNAcentral also lists the same sequence under 3 other names.